This 655-nucleotide long non-coding RNA is filed under the name Vulpes vulpes (red fox). RNAcentral's name for it is "lncRNA (ENSVVUG00000013370.1)". The record is from RNAcentral. Lineage: Eukaryota; Metazoa; Chordata; Mammalia; Carnivora; Canidae.
UGAAUUGGAGAAUAGAGGUUAGACAGCUGUAGAGCAUCUUCCACCCCAUUAACAAUAGGAAGAGCCAUUGUAAUUGUUAAUGUUUUAGUUGUUUGUGUCAGCAGAAGAGGGAGGCAGAGCCAGAGCUAGGCAAUUCAUUGGAAAGCGAGAGUUGGUACAACAGCCAAGGAUCUUCAGAAGAAGAAAGUCUAACGUCACAUUUUAAGUUGUCUGUGCGAUGUAACACAAACUGUUAAGUUUUGACUCCAUCAGUUACGACAUCACUGGCUGCUGCUAUCAGCAUAAUGAUGAUGUCAAGAAUGCUGAACUGUGAAAACCAGCAGGAGUGAAGGAGCGUGGAAUAGGGAGUAUUUCAGUAUGAGAAACUCUAAAGGAAGAAGUCCAGUGCCCAGAGACCAUUCUCCGGUAAAAAAUAAAUAAUUGGUUUCUGUCCACCUGACCCAACAGUAUUAGGAUUGAUGGCAACCUUGCUCUAUACCUUCUCUUGUCAAACAGGGACACCAGAAAAUCUGCUGCCUUUGGUGAAUGAUUUACUGCCAUUCAAUUCCUCAGACUGUCAGCUGCUACGUAAAGAAAAUAGUGCUGUUCUCACGUGAUUUUAUUGAGAGUUACAUCUUCUGUCUUCACCAAGUAAAUCCUAAUACAGCAUGUCCAG